This 1066-nucleotide unclassified non-coding RNA is filed under the name Hevea brasiliensis (rubber tree). Lineage: Eukaryota; Viridiplantae; Streptophyta; Magnoliopsida; Malpighiales; Euphorbiaceae. The record is from RNAcentral.
AAAAAAAGAAAAGAAAAAAAAAGAAAAGAAAAGUUGCCUCAAAGCUCACACACUCGUUAAAAAACAAUCCAAUGACAAGACGAAACUUGAUCAUUAAAUUAUGUAAGUCCUGGGGUGCAGAGCAGUGGAAUAAAUAAUGAACACAAAUUCAAUGAAGAGUUAGAAAUUUCCAUAGGAAAGAAAAUAUAUUCCUUUAUGUUGAUAAUGUCAAAAAUCUUAGUUAAUUAUAGCAUUCCAGAGAUACUUGAUACUUCCAGUCAAGCUGAAUGGUAUUGGAUACAAGAAUAUAUACAGUCACAUUUGCACAUCAAAACCUACUAAUUACUGAAGUAUAAAGACAUAUGGCAGUCAUCAAGGAGGGCAACGAGAGUACCAGACCACAACAAUUGCCCAAGGGCAAAAUGAAGGGAACUAGUAUUACAGCAAAAGAGCAUGAAAAUUUUUCACUGGUACAAAACAUUGCACAUGAAGCAUCAGAUUGAAAUAUAUUGGACUGAAAAAUAUGUUUGGAAUUUGGAUAGAUAUGCAUCCAAUAAUAGAAUGCUAAUGCCGGGUAAAUGUCGAUAUGGUAUAUUUGUUCUUCUACAUGGGCAGGCAGGAUUCAUUUGAAAUGUAUAAUCUCCCCUCAAUAUUCAAUUAUGAAACUGACUUGAAACAGCAUGCUUUUGCAGAACUGCCUGAUCUUAACAGACGCUAAAACUUUUUGGACAAACAAACUGCCAUUGAAUAUAUAUAUAUUUUUUAUUCUUCUAGUAUUCUAUAUUGUAUAACUUCAUUUGCCCAAGGAAAUCAUUCAUCAAUGUUCUUGAAACUUUUUGCUCACCAAGAAAAAUAAAUAUAGAGUAGGACUGCCUGAUCUUGAAACAGCAUGCUUUUGCAGAACUGCCUGAUCUUAACAGACGCUAAAACUUUUUGGACAAACAAACUGCCAUUGAAUAUAUAUAUAUUUUUUAUUCUUCUAGUAUUCUAUAUUGUAUAACUUCAUUUGCCCAAGGAAAUCAUUCAUCAAUGUUCUUGAAACUUUUUGCUCACCAAGAAAAAUAAAUAUAGAGUAGGACUGCCUGAU